UACGGGGGGGGCAAGCGUUGUUCGGAAUUACUGGGCGUAAAGGGUUUGUAGGUGGCUUGCUAAGUCAGACGUGAAAUCCCUCAGCUUAACUGGGGAACUGCGUCUGAUACUGGCAAGCUUGAGUGCAGGAGAGGAACGCGGAAUUCCAGGUGUAGCGGUGAAAUGCGUAGAUAUCUGGAGGAACACCGGUGGCGAAGGCGGCGUUCUGGACUGCAACUGACACUGAGAGACGAAAGCCAGGGGAGCAAACGGG
Molecule: ribosomal RNA, 253 nt
Filed under: uncultured bacterium
Lineage: Bacteria
Description: partial 16S ribosomal RNA
Rfam family: Bacterial small subunit ribosomal RNA
Source: RNAcentral